Molecule: long non-coding RNA, 279 nt
Filed under: Daucus carota (carrot)
Lineage: Eukaryota; Viridiplantae; Streptophyta; Magnoliopsida; Apiales; Apiaceae
Description: long non-coding RNA (DCAR_LNC006428)
Source: RNAcentral
UUGUUUGUCGAGGCUUCAAGAUAUAUAGCAACCCUUCUUUGCUAAAGAUACCAAUCAAUAUUGUGUUUACUGACCAACUCAGUUUUCAAACAACCUAUCGAACUGAACCCUGAAGAGUCUCCACUUGAUAAAACCAAUGGAUUCCAUCUGAAUCUGACAUGACUAAACCUCUCAUACAGUGUUAUGCUAAUCCUUGAAGUUCUGUCCUCACAUUCUUCAAAAGUGUUAACUUUCGUCGACUUGAGCUUCCUCAAAUUCAGUAGUUACAAACUCUUCUGU